This 523-nucleotide ribosomal RNA is filed under the name uncultured bacterium. Its description in RNAcentral is "bacterial SSU rRNA". It matches the Rfam family "Bacterial small subunit ribosomal RNA", at positions 986 to 1509 of the family's 1533-position model. The record is from RNAcentral.
AUCCAGAGAACUUAGCAGAGAUGCUUUGGUGGCCUUCGGGAACUCUGAGACAGGUGCUGCAUGGCUGUCGUCAGCUCGUGUUGUGAAAUGUUGGGUUAAGUCCGCAACGAGCGCAACCCUUAUCCUUUGUUGCCAGCGGUUCGGCCGGGAACUCAAAGGAGACUGCCGGUGAUAAACCGGAGGAAGGUGGGGAUGACGUCAAGUCAUCAUGGCCCUUACGGCCAGGGCUACACACGUGCUACAAUGGCGCAUACAAAGAGAAGCGACCUCGCGAGAGCAAGCGGACCUCAUAAAGUGCGUCGUAGUCCGGAUUGGAGUCUGCAACUCGACUCCAUGAAGUCGGAAUCGCUAGUAAUCGUAGAUCAGAAUGCUACGGUGAAUACGUUCCCGGGCCUUGUACACACCGCCCGUCACACCAUGGGAGUGGGUUGCAAAAGAAGUAGGUAGCUUAACCUUCGGGAGGGCGCUUACCACUUUGUGAUUCAUGACUGGGGUGAAGUCGUAACAAGGUAAGCGUACGUGU